AAUUCACAUGCAUGCAUCCCUAUUGAGAAUUCACAUGUUAAAAUUUAAAAUUGGAUUCACAUUCACAAUUUCACAAUUCACAUGCAUGCAUCCCUAUUGAGAAUUGACAUUUAAAAAUUUAAAAUUAAAUUCACAUUCACAAUUUCACUAAGUACUACUAUUCACAAUUAAAAUAAAAUCAAAUUGAGAAAAAUGAAAAGAAAAUAAAAUAAAAUUAGGAAACUAACGCUCGGAGAUUGGAGGCACGGUUGGCCGGUGACACAGAGAGGAGGGGCCUGGCGGUGGAGCGGCGCGGGGAGGGGAGGCACCGCGGUGGCAGCCCGAGAAGGGGAGGCAUGGUCGGCCAGUGAUAGGAGGGGCCCGGCCCCGGCGGUGGAGUCGGCGCGGGGAGGGGAGGCACCAUGACAGGAAGGCACCGCGUGAGGAGGGGAGGAGGCAUGGCGCUGCGGCCCGGUGUGGACUGCCUAUAUAGGAGGGCAUUAGCAGGGACCCGCCCC
This 497-nucleotide long non-coding RNA is filed under the name Setaria viridis. Its description in RNAcentral is "long non-coding RNA (SVIR_LNC001598)". The record is from RNAcentral. Lineage: Eukaryota; Viridiplantae; Streptophyta; Magnoliopsida; Poales; Poaceae.